This 452-nucleotide ribosomal RNA is filed under the name uncultured Pseudomonas sp. Its description in RNAcentral is "bacterial SSU rRNA". It matches the Rfam family "Bacterial small subunit ribosomal RNA", at positions 930 to 1382 of the family's 1533-position model. The record is from RNAcentral. Lineage: Bacteria; Pseudomonadati; Pseudomonadota; Gammaproteobacteria; Pseudomonadales; Pseudomonadaceae.
CGGUGGAGCAUGUGGUUAAUUCGAAGCAACGCGAAGAACCUUACCAGGCCUUGACAUGCAGAGAACUUUCCAGAGAUGGAUUGGUGCCUUCGGGAACUCUGACACAGGUGCUGCAUGGCUGUCGUCAGCUCGUGUCGUGAGAUGUUGGGUUAAGUCCCGUAACGAGCGCAACCCUUGUCCUUAGUUACCAGCACGUUAUGGUGGGCACUCUAAGGAGACUGCCGGUGACAAACCGGAGGAAGGUGGGGAUGGCGUCAAGUCAUCAUGGCCCUUACGGCCUGGGCUACACACGUGCUACAAUGGUCGGUACAAAGGGUUGCCAAGCCGCGAGGUGGAGCUAAUCCCAUAAAACCGAUCGUAGUCCGGAUCGCAGUCUGCAACUCGACUGCGUGAAGUCGGAAUCGCUAGUAAUCGUGAAUCAGAAUGUCACGGUGAAUACGUUCCCGGGCCUU